This 1270-nucleotide small RNA is filed under the name Drosophila mojavensis. RNAcentral's name for it is "GI26015". The record is from RNAcentral. Lineage: Eukaryota; Metazoa; Arthropoda; Insecta; Diptera; Drosophilidae.
UCAACUGGAGCGGGUCAAAACUGCCUAAAAUUCUAAAUUUUUUUUGUGUAAAUCGAAUUUUAGAAAUGUUUUAUUUUUCGGUCCAUUUUUUUUCUCAAUUUUUUUUUAUCACUUUUGGCAAGGUGAAGUAAAAUGUAAAUUCAGUUUGGUCAAAAUGCUUCGCCGAACGGUUGGCAAAAAUUACAAAAUUUGUGUUCAUAAUUUCCAUUUAUAUUGAUUAUAUUGUACACAUAAAAAUCCUGCGGUCAACUUAUAUAUUGUACAUAUAUCCAAAUGCAUCCCCAGAAUGAAGAACCGGCUUUCAAGGUCAAUUUUACGAAGAUACGAACCAAAACAACACCCAUCAUUCAAUGAUGCAUAGCAAUGUAAAAUGACCUUCCAAGUGUGGGGCGAGCGCUUUCUCUCUGGCGUAUCUGGCGGAUGUUAGCGCAAACUAUGAACAUAAACGCAACGGAAUAAAACAAACACCACUGCAACAAGAAUUCAAAAUACAUAUACAAUUUCAUAUAUACAUAUAGUAAUAUAUAUAUUUAUAAAUAUAUAUGUUACAUACACAAUUACAUAGACAUGAACAAAGAUAGUUAGUUACCUGCACUCCAUAUAUCUGUAUGUACAUCCAACCAUAUAUGCAUAUAUAUAUGUAUACAAAUAUCUUCGAGUCUCAUACAUCAUCAUAUCAUGAUAUAAGAACGCGUUUGCCACUCCAUAUAGAUUGCACAUACAUAUAAAAAAAAUAAUCAACAAGCAACAGCUACUGUGCGUGGUAUGCAGGUUUCAUUAAUCGCUUGAAUAUCAAACUCAAACGAUGUAAAAAUAGGUGUCAAACUUUGAGACAUACCUACUCAAUAUCUAGACAUUAGUUACGUUUUGAUUGGCUCUCUCAUUUUCAUCUUCAAAUCGACGGUACCGCGCUAUGAGCAGAGCGCUGCAGCUAGCGUCGUAAGCGAAAAAUUGUCAAGUAAGGAAUCUAAAUGAGAUCCAAUCAAUACACAAGGGCGCACAACAACCGAUUCUUAGUUAUAGUAACUAAUACAAGGAUAAGAAACGACAAAUUAGGAAAAUACAUGUAUAUGAAACUAUCAAAGUUUCGUUAGCCGGUCCAAAAGUCAAACUAUAAUCAAGAUUCAACUUCUCAAAUAAAAAAACGAAAAUUCGAGUUGAUUUUCAGGACGGUACCACGCCCCUUUACUUGAUGCCGGGGACGUGUGCUCGCGUCCAGUUUUAAUGGAGUAACUGUUAUGCAAAAAUAAAAUGUUUCAAAUAAAUCACU